AGGGUUUGAUCAUGGCUCAGGAUGAACGCUAGCGGCAGGCCUGACACAUGCAAGUCGAGGGGUAACAGGGAGUGCUUGCACUCUGCUGACGACCGGCGCACGGGUGCGUAACGCGUAUGCAACCUACCUUCCACAGGGGGAUAGUCAAUAGAAAUGUUGAAUAAUACCCCAUACGAUCUAAAGAUCACCUGAUCAAUAGAGGAAAACUCCGGUGGUGGAAGAUGGGCAUGCGUCCUAUUAGUUAGUUGGUGAGGUAACGGCUCACCAAGACUACGAUAGGUAGGGGUCCUGAGAGGGAGACCCCCCACACUGGUACUGAGACACGGACCAGACUCCUACGGGAGGCAGCAGUGAGGAAUAUUGGACAAUGGAGGCAACUCUGAUCCAGCCAUGCCGCGUGCAGGAAGACUGCCCUAUGGGUUGUAAACUGCUUUUAUACAGGAAGAAAUGUACCUACGUGUAGGUAUUUGACGGUACUGUAAGAAUAAGGAUCGGCUAACUCCGUGCCAGCAGCCGCGGUAAUACGGAGGAUCCAAGCGUUAUCCGGAAUCAUUGGGUUUAAAGGGUCCGUAGGCGGUUUUUUAAGUCAGAGGUGAAAUCCUGCAGCUCAACUGUAGCAUUGCCUUUGAUACUGAGAGACUUGAGUUAUUGUGAAGUAGUUAGAAUGUGUAGUGUAGCGGUGAAAUGCAUAGAUAUUACACAGAAUACCAAUUGCGAAGGCAGAUUACUAACAAUACACUGACGCUGAGGGACGAAAGCGUGGGUAGCGAACAGGAUUAGAUACCCUGGUAGUCCACGCCGUAAACGAUGGAUACUAGCUGUUCGAGCAACAAUGGUUGUUUGAGUGGCUAAGCGAAAGUGAUAAGUAUCCCACCUGGGGAGUACGCUCGCAAGAGUGAAACUCAAAGGAAUUGACGGGGGGCCCGCACAAGCGGUGGAAGCAUGUGGUUUAAUUCGAUGAUACGCGAGGGAACCUUACCAGGGCUUAAAUGUAAGUUGCAUAGAUCAGAGAUGGUCUUUUCUUCGGACUACUUACAAGGUGCUGCAUGGUUGUCGUCAGCUCGUGCCGUGAGGUGUCAGGUUAAGUCCUAUAACGAGCGCAACCCCUGUCGUUAGUUGCCAUCAGGUUAAGCUGGGUACUCUAACGAGACUGCCGGUGCAAACCGUGAGGAAGGUGGGGAUGACGUCAAAUCAUCACGGCCCUUACGUCCUGGGCUACACACGUGCUACAAUGGCCGGUACAGAGAGCAAGCCACUACGCGAGUAGGAGCGAAUCUAUAAAACCGGUCUCAGU
Molecule: ribosomal RNA, 1294 nt
Filed under: uncultured bacterium
Lineage: Bacteria
Description: bacterial SSU rRNA
Rfam family: Bacterial small subunit ribosomal RNA
Source: RNAcentral